AUUUAUAUCAAACAAAUAUUCAAAGUUAAACUUAAUUGACUUAUUAUAUACAUUCACUUGUAAAUUCAUCCCUUUUUAUACAUAGCAUAUAAAAUAUCUAAUUUGAAAGAAAGAAAAAUUAUUUAAAAAAACAAAAACUAAUCUAUGGGUCGCAGAAAAUUCCUAGAGCCAAUGAACUUGUCCUUCUCUAUGGCAAAUAAUUAAAAUCAGCGCGAUGCAUAUUUAUAACAUUCAUUCAUUCUUCGUUACAAUUAUAAUUAACGAUUAAUGCAUAUGGUUGAAUGCCACGCACUGCGCCUCUGGCCUGGGGAGCUGCACGCCGGCACUAGCGGGGCAUGCCGUGAGCCGUACUGGCGGAACCAUGCAAUUGUAAGACAAGCACAACGACGCCGUAUCAGGUAAUGCCAACCCAGGUUCCAACGGAAACUCUGAUAUAUAAUUAUGUUGCAAGUACAAUGUUUUGGUCCUGCCACGAUAGAAGCUGUCCACGUAUUCCAUGGGCACUCUCCCCACCCAAUAGUUGUUAUUCAAGAAUAAACUCUCCACCCCAGCCAGAACGGGAGACAAUUCUCCGCUCAGUAAGUUGUGGCUCAAGUCCACGAUGGAUCCUUCACCGUAAGAUGACGAUGGGUCCACAAGGCGAGAUGGGACCCCACCGGAUAAAUUGUUCCGUUGCAGCAACAGUGAAGCGAGUGAGGGGCGGAACACGGAGGAAGGGAUGGGCCCAUUGAAUUGGUUCAUGCUUAGGUCGAGGUACACUAAUUCUGAGAGCGACCCUAGGCCGUUGAGUGGGCCCCACAUAUUGUUUCUUGACACCGACAGAUAAUGGAGCGACGAGGGCAUCUCCAACGGCAAUAUCCCUCCUAACCUAUUGCUUUUCAAAUCCAAAUGCAGCAAUGGAGUUGACAUCCUUCUCGGUAACUCUCCGGACAAGGAAUUCCAGGCCAUGAUAACCACUUUCAACUCGCUCAAACCUGUGAAAAGACCAGGUGGUAUUGACCCCGUGAGUUGGUUGUAACUUAGAUCGAGCGUGUGCAAAUUGGGAAGCGAUGAUAGUGAGCUAGGUAUCGGACCGGUUAAGCGGUUGUUCGUUAAUGAGAUGACCCGCAGGCUCCUGAGUCCACCCAGUUGGGGAGGGAUGGGGCCAGUAACCAGGCCCGGGUAAAGGACUAGUUGGGUUAACUCAGUAAGGUUGGAAAGGGAAGGGGAGAGUGAGCCAGCAAGUCCCGGUGAGUCAGAGAGGCCGGUGCCGAGAGUGAGAGAAGUAACUCGGUUGAGAGAACAAGUGAUACCAGAGAAGGUGGAGCAGGGAUCUUGGGAUGCAAAGUCCCAGGUGGAAAAAAAAUUUGAGCCUGGAAUGCCUGUGAGGCUGUCCUUUAUGGCUGCGAGUGCUGUAAGAUCAAUGGUGUUCAUUUUCUGCUGUUUUUGUUGCUGAUGCGAUGGACAUGCAACGAGAAAAAGCAGUAGCGCAAACAGCAGGAGAGUGUGUGGGUUGGCCAUGAGAGAGAUUUUACAAGUAUGUGAUAGGCUGUCAACAAACUUAGGGUCGAAAGAAAAAGAAGAAGACUAAAAGGUGGGUGGUUUUGGAGAGAAUUUAGUUUAGUUACGCUGUUGGAUUCAAGAGUAAUAUUGACAGGGGCACAUUGAUGUAUAUAUGUGAGGUGGAGGUGGAAAGGGAGAACUCCUGCGAGUGUCUAAUAGAUUCACUCCAUUUCCAGGCCCCAGCAGCAAUUGUUUUGGGAGAGAGAGAGAGAGGGAGAACAAUUAGAGAGAGGAAAUA
Molecule: unclassified non-coding RNA, 1780 nt
Filed under: Hevea brasiliensis (rubber tree)
Lineage: Eukaryota; Viridiplantae; Streptophyta; Magnoliopsida; Malpighiales; Euphorbiaceae
Source: RNAcentral